RNAcentral lists this small RNA (132 nucleotides) under Klebsiella pneumoniae. RNAcentral describes it as "RtT sRNA". It matches the Rfam family "RtT RNA". Rfam says of the family: This family represents a bacterial cis-regulatory element known as RtT RNA. The record is from RNAcentral. Lineage: Bacteria; Pseudomonadati; Pseudomonadota; Gammaproteobacteria; Enterobacterales; Enterobacteriaceae.
UAUUCUGCCCCACGGGGAAGGAUGAGAAGCUUCGACUAAGGUUCGACUCGAGCGAAGCGAGAGAACGUUGCCGCAGGCAACGGCCCGAAGGGCGAGGAGCGAUAGCGACGAGUUAUCCUUCCCCCACCAUCA